RNAcentral lists this ribosomal RNA (253 nucleotides) under uncultured bacterium. RNAcentral describes it as "partial 16S ribosomal RNA". It matches the Rfam family "Bacterial small subunit ribosomal RNA", at positions 524 to 776 of the family's 1533-position model. The record is from RNAcentral.
UACGAAGGGGGCUAGCGUUGCUCGGAAUCACUGGGCGUAAAGGGUGCGUAGGCGGGGCUUUAAGUCAGGGGUGAAAUCCUGGAGCUCAACUCCAGAACUGCCUUUGAUACUGAAGAUCUUGAGUUCGGGAGAGGUGAGUGGAACUGCGAGUGUAGAGGUGAAAUUCGUAGAUAUUGGGAAGAACACCGGUGGCGAAGGCGGCCAUCUGGACCGCAACUGACGCUGAGGCGCGAAAGCGUGGGGAGCAAACAGG